Molecule: long non-coding RNA, 987 nt
Organism: Mugil cephalus (flathead mullet)
Lineage: Eukaryota; Metazoa; Chordata; Actinopteri; Mugiliformes; Mugilidae
Exons: 2
Source: RefSeq, a predicted model, not a curated record
GGGAGGAGGAGGAGGGAGUGCCGUCCGGUAGAACAGGUCUGGGUGAGGCGGUCAAGCGAGCUUCACUCACUGUGUGAAAAGGAAAGAGAGCAGAGAGAUUUGUUGUUUCCUUCACUUAAAGUUUCUCCUGCAGAGAAGAAGAAGAAGAAGAAGAAGAAGAAGAAGAAGAAGAAGAAGGAGAAGAAUAAGAAGUAGGAGAAGAAAUAAACGUCUGAACAGACCUCUCUCCUGAUUGGACGGCUGGCUGAUUAAUUGAUUGGCUGGUUGGUUUUAGCCCCGCCUUCUUCCCCAUCAUGUCAACAAACAUCAACCUAUCACUGGACAAUCCGUAUGGUCAGGUGACCAUCCCGCGGGCAAAGCUUCGCCCCUCAGAUGAUGUGGCCACGGUGAUAGCCAAUCCGAUGACAGUGAGCAGUAACGAUGUCAAUCCCUAUAACUCCGCCCCCCCGCCGCCAUAUAUGGUGAAGGAAGAUGGAGGGGAGGAGGAGGGGGGAGGGCGGUGCCACGCCUGCUGCUACAGAUGCAGGAGGAAGUGACAUCACCACAGACAAAGGAAGUGACAUCACCACAGACAGAGUGACAUCAUCGCAGUUGAAGGGAGGAAGUGACAUCAUCGCAGUUAAAGGGAGGAAGUGACAUCAUCGCAGAAUAAAAGAAUCCUUAGUUCUAAAUAAUAAAUCAUAAAUAAAUCCUUAUAUAUGUAAUAACCUGAUCAGACUCUUGAUGAAUGUUAUUAUUCUGGGAUGUAUUUCAAGAACACGCCUCCUUUCUGCUUCGUUAACGGUUGUUAAUCAGAACAAAUUGCAGGAGCUGGAUUGUUGGUUUUGUAAAGAUUUUAUAUUUUAUCCUGGAAAUGAUUCAUUUUGUUUUUUUCCAGAAAGUAUUUAUAUUUUUCUUGACAAUGAUUUUGAACAUUUAAGAAUGAAGGAGUUUAAGUAUAAAUACAAGAAUAAAGUUUAUGGAGUUGAAUAAAAUCUGAUAAUGAGA